RNAcentral lists this long non-coding RNA (1145 nucleotides) under Heterocephalus glaber (naked mole-rat). RNAcentral describes it as "lncRNA (ENSHGLG00100036071.1)". Lineage: Eukaryota; Metazoa; Chordata; Mammalia; Rodentia; Bathyergidae. The record is from RNAcentral.
GGGAGGUGCUAUGACUCAUACACCUUGGAUUGUUAGACCUAAAAAUCUACAUGCACAGAGAUUCUGAUGGGCUCAAGGUUAAUCCUCCCAGUUGGUGGCUGAGCCAGCCAAGAAUGCCAGCAUCCUGACACCCAGGAUGAAGUGAAAAUGAGCUUUUCUGAACAUGAGGGACUCUUAAGAAUGCAUAAUACUUCCAAGCUUUUUGUUCACACAGAAGUAAGUUUGCAAAGCAGUGGUGGAGGAUUCUCUGAAGAAGGGCAAACAGUCCCCAAGGGGGAGGAGUUGGUUGCUGCAGGAGCUCUGUUGCCAGCAAUUAUUAAUUCACUUCUGCUGGAUCUGUCCUGAGGGCCUCCCGUGCACAAUAACGUGAGGAGUGUUGGCAGCUUUGGAGGGAGAAAGACUGACUCGUCUCCGAGGGAGGAAGGUGGGACUCCUCACAAGGUUGCCCUCCUCCCAGCUCCCUCUUUCCUGAGAAACAACUUAUGCUUUCGGCCUGAACUCAGGCUGCUGAGGACGCAGUGUUCCAGGGAUGGUGGCAGAUCUUGGAGAAGGUUUAUUUUCUGAUUUCUUUAUGAUCCUGUCUGAUUUGCAAGGGCUGGAAUCUGCCUGUUAUAUUUAUGGAAGCAGACCAAGAAUUGAGGAUGGUUCCUGGCACAUAGGAAGUGCUCAGGAAAUUUUUGUUGAAUGAAUGAAUGAACAAAUAAUUAAGAAGGCUGCUAAACGCCAUCUUAAAUAGAUUUAAUACUGAGGUGAGUUGCAGGACUAAUUCAAUUUUGUCCUUCUAGUCUGAUCUUUUUCAGCCCAGUUUUGUUAUGUGUUUUGUUUUGUUUUUAACUCUGGAAGACUACAUGUAUCAAAUUGGAUUGAAGGUGUAUUUUCUAUGUCUAUGAAGAUUUGAGAUCUUGUGAAAAAGGCUUUCAAUCAAAUGAAGAGGAUUUUUAUUUGAAUAAUUACUGUUGAGUCCUCAUUCAGUCGUUUGGACAUUUUGAAUUGGAAACUAAGUGCAACCACACUGGGAGAAAUGCAACAAUGUCACCAUUGGCACUGACAAAAUAUUUGAUCAAAGUACUGGAAAAAAACAAAACCCAUUGAAUGUAUGGCACACCCAUCUGUGCUGCUGUGAGGCCAGAUGUUCUAGUUGUGGG